This 112-nucleotide ribosomal RNA is filed under the name Cordylochernes scorpioides. Lineage: Eukaryota; Metazoa; Arthropoda; Arachnida; Pseudoscorpiones; Chernetidae. The record is from RNAcentral.
GUGAUAAAAUUUCUCAUUCUUUACCGGCUCUCGUCCGAUCACCAAAGUUAAGCAAUGUCGGUCAGUACUUGGGAGGGUGACCACCUGGGAACAGCGGGUGUAGCUGUAGACU